UACGGAGGGGGCUAGCGUUGUUCGGAAUUACUGGGCGUAAAGCGCGCGUAGGCGGCUUUGUAAGUCAGAGGUGAAAGCCCGGAGCUCAACUUCGGAAUUGCCUUUAAGACUGCAUCGCUUGAAUCAUGGAGAGGUCAGUGGAAUUCCGAGUGUAGAGGUGAAAUUCGUAGAUAUUCGGAAGAACACCAGUGGCGAAGGCGACUGACUGGACAUGUAUUGACGCUGAGGUGCGAAAGCGUGGGGAGCAAACAGG
Molecule: ribosomal RNA, 253 nt
Filed under: uncultured bacterium
Lineage: Bacteria
Description: partial 16S ribosomal RNA
Rfam family: Bacterial small subunit ribosomal RNA
Source: RNAcentral